This 108-nucleotide non-coding RNA is filed under the name uncultured Clostridium sp. Its description in RNAcentral is "FMN riboswitch (RFN element)". It matches the Rfam family "FMN riboswitch aptamer (RFN element)". From Rfam's summary of the family: The RFN element is a highly conserved domain that is found frequently in the 5'-untranslated regions of prokaryotic mRNAs that encode for flavin mononucleotide (FMN) biosynthesis and transport proteins. The record is from RNAcentral. Lineage: Bacteria; Bacillati; Bacillota; Clostridia; Eubacteriales; Clostridiaceae.
CUCUUCAGGGCGGGGUGUAAGUCCCCACCGGCGGUAAAGCCCGCGAGCCGAAAGGCAUGAUUCGGUUAGAUUCCGAAGCCGACAGUAUAGUCUGGAUGAAAGAAGAUU